This 600-nucleotide ribosomal RNA is filed under the name Enterococcus casseliflavus. RNAcentral's name for it is "bacterial SSU rRNA". It matches the Rfam family "Bacterial small subunit ribosomal RNA", at positions 37 to 611 of the family's 1533-position model. Lineage: Bacteria; Bacillati; Bacillota; Bacilli; Lactobacillales; Enterococcaceae. The record is from RNAcentral.
GCGUGGCGGGUGCUAUACUGCAGUCGAACGCUUUUUCUUUCACCGGAGCUUGCUCCACCGAAAGAAAAAGAGUGGCGAACGGGUGAGUAACACGUGGGUAACCUGCCCAUCAGAAGGGGAUAACACUUGGAAACAGGUGCUAAUACCGUAUAACACUAUUUUCCGCAUGGAAGAAAGUUGAAAGGCGCUUUUGCGUCACUGAUGGAUGGACCCGCGGUGCAUUAGCUAGUUGGUGAGGUAACGGCUCACCAAGGCCACGAUGCAUAGCCGACCUGAGAGGGUGAUCGGCCACACUGGGACUGAGACACGGCCCAGACUCCUACGGGAGGCAGCAGUAGGGAAUCUUCGGCAAUGGACGAAAGUCUGACCGAGCAACGCCGCGUGAGUGAAGAAGGUUUUCGGAUCGUAAAACUCUGUUGUUAGAGAAGAACAAGGAUGAGAGUAGAACGUUCAUCCCUUGACGGUAUCUAACCAGAAAGCCACGGCUAACUACGUGCCAGCAGCCGCGGUAAUACGUAGGUGGCAAGCGUUGUCCGGAUUUAUUGGGCGUAAAGCGAGCGCAGGCGGUUUCUUAAGUCUGAUGUGAAAGCCCCCGGCUCA